CUCUUCCCUUUUCGGCUCGGUGUUACUACCCCGUUCCUGUCAUAUCCGCAUCCGUCCCUUCGUAUCACCCGAUUUGUUCUACCAGAUUCUCAGCUGAGGCGGGGUUGAAAAGGACUGGACGGCCUUAGACACCAGCUUGUGUCAAACCUCCCACUUCGAUAAGCGGGACUUCAGAAGUGCGACGAGGAUUGCUCAUUAAGAGCACAUAAGCCCGCCCUGCAUGUUGUCAUUGGCUUUUUGUCCUUGACACCUUACACGCUCAGCGACAAGUAUCACUAUUCCAACGUUCACAACAAUCAUCAUGAAGAGCCAACUCGCCUCUCUUCUAACGGCAUUGAGGCAUUUCUCUCCCCUAUUCCCUGACUGUUGGACCAAACGAUGCUAACUUUCUUUGACAGCACCGUCUCCGCCGGCCCCUGUAAAGCUGCCAUCACAACCACCACAAUCACCCCGGCUCCUUCACCUACCCUCGCGCCAUCCUGCACCUUCACAGGUACCCAGACACAAUGGGCCACCAGCGGGUGUGAUCUCCCCUGCAACACAAGUAUUUUCUGCAUCUGGGAUGGUGAGUUUGGCGUUGAGGCCUCCCUGUUUCGGCUGACUGCUGACUGGUCUCGAUCUUCCUUUAGCUGCCGUCACCCAGCCUUGCGGCUGCUCAUCUGUACCAGUCGUGACGACGACCGUCACCCUUUGCCCGACGAGAACGCCGUGCCAGCAGUGCACCACCGGUUGGGGCAUUUUCACGUAUACGCAAUCUUGUGAGGCUACUGCGACUCCUUAAUUGGACCGAGCAGGCGUUGUUUAUCGGCGACUGUGGAGUUGAGCUCGUUGGGGGUUCGAGAAAGGUGACGCGCUGUCACCAUCUGGUGACUCUAUCAGGGGUAA
Molecule: non-coding RNA, 885 nt
Organism: Neurospora crassa OR74A
Lineage: Eukaryota; Fungi; Ascomycota; Sordariomycetes; Sordariales; Sordariaceae
Source: RefSeq, a predicted model, not a curated record